This 59-nucleotide transfer RNA is filed under the name Oxyrrhis marina. The record is from RNAcentral. Lineage: Eukaryota; Dinophyceae; Oxyrrhinales; Oxyrrhinaceae.
AGUGGCCCAGUGGUUCAAACAUCCGCCUGGUAACCCAGAGGUUGCGGGUUCAAAUCCCG